RNAcentral lists this ribosomal RNA (599 nucleotides) under uncultured bacterium. RNAcentral describes it as "bacterial SSU rRNA". It matches the Rfam family "Bacterial small subunit ribosomal RNA", at positions 338 to 943 of the family's 1533-position model. The record is from RNAcentral.
CCUACGGGAGGCAGCAGUGGGGAAUAUUGGGCAAUGGAGGAAACUCUGACCCAGCGACGCCGCGUGCGGGAUGAAGGCCUUCGGGUUGUAAACCGCUUUCAGUAGGGAAGAAGCGAAAGUGACGGUACCUACAGAAGAAGCACCGGCUAACUAUGUGCCAGCAGCCGCGGUAAUACAUAGGGUGCAAGCGUUGUCCGGAAUUAUUGGGCGUAAAGAGCUCGUAGGUGGUUCGUCACGUCGGAUGUGAAAAAUCUGGGGCUCAACCCCAGACCUGCAUUCGAUACGGGCGAUCUAGAGUGUGGUAGGGGAGACUGGAAUUCCUGGUGUAGCGGUGGAAUGCGCAGAUAUCAGGAGGAACACCAAUGGCGAAGGCAGGUCUCUGGGCCAUUACUGACACUGAGGAGCGAAAAGCGUGGGGAGCGAACAGGAUUAGAUACCCUGGUAGUCCACGCCGUAAACGGUGGGCACUAGUUGUGGGAACCUUCCACGGUUUCUGCGACGCAGCUAACGCAUUAAAGUGCCCGCCUGGGGAGUACGAUCGCAAGAUUAAAACUCAAAAGGAAUUAGACGGCGUGNGAGNGCGAGNGACACGAGGAGAG